This 1630-nucleotide ribosomal RNA is filed under the name bioreactor sludge metagenome. RNAcentral describes it as "bacterial LSU rRNA". It matches the Rfam family "Bacterial large subunit ribosomal RNA", at positions 462 to 2127 of the family's 2925-position model. The record is from RNAcentral.
AAGGCUAAAUACUUUUUAUGACCGAUAGUGAACUAGUACCGUGAGGGAAAGGUGAAAAGUACCCCGUAGCGGGGAGUGAAAUAGUACCUGAAACCAUAUACUUACAAGGAGUCAGAGACGUUUGUCAUUUAUGAUAGACGUUCAUGGCGUGCCUUUUGAAGAAUGAGCCAACGAGUUAAUGCUUGUAGUUUGCCGAAGUACUUCUGGUACGAAGGCCAAGCGAAAGCGAGUAGUAAAUCUGCGUUUAUUGCAAGUAUUAGACCCGAAACCGGGUGAUCUAUCCAUGAUCAGGAUGAACCUUACCUAACAGUAAGGGGAGGUCCGAACCCACGUCAGUUACAAAUGGCGGGGAUGAAUUGUGGAUAGGGGAGAAAUUCCAAUCGAACCCGGAGAUAGCUGGUUCUCCUCGAAAUAUAUUUUGGUAUAGCCUCAUGCGCAACCCUGGGGGUAGAGCACUGAAUGGAACGUACAGGAGUAAUCCUGUGCUUCUUAUCAAACUUCGAAUACCAGGCGUUAGGCAUUGGGAGUCAGUCCGUGAGGGCUAAGCUUCAUUGGACAAAAGGGAAACAACCCAGACCGUCAUCUAAGGUCCCUAAAUUGUAGCUAAGUGGGAAAGGAAGUGUUUAAGCUCAGACAACUAGGAGGUUGGCUUAGAAGCAGCCAUCCUUUAAAGAAAGCGUAACAGCUCACUAGUCAAGGUUGAAUGCGCCGAAAAUUUAACGGGGCUAAAGCUACAUACCGAAGAUACGGGAAUCGUGCAUGGCAUAGAGUUUUUAAUAUUUUUAAAGACUGUGUGCUGUGUGCGGUUCGGUAGAGGAGCGUUCUAAAUGCGCUGAAGCCAAAGAUGUAAAUCAUGGUGGAGCGUUUAGAAGUGAGAAUGUUGGCACAAGUACACGAAUUAGGCAGACGAGAAAUCUGCCCACCAAAAAUCCAAGGUUUCCCGGGCAACGAUAAUCGGCCCGGGGUUAGUCGGUCCUAACCUAUUUUAAUGGGGAUGGCCAGCAGGUUGAUAUUCCUGCACUUUCAAAAACUUACCUUUAUCCGACUCUUUUUCAAGCUUGAUAGCUCAUAUGGUUAUGGUCUAUUGGGGGCGAAAGAGACAAGAAAAAGAUAAAGUCAAUUAUUUUUGGAAACCGUACCGCAAACCGACGCAGGUGGAUGGGGUGAGAAUCCUAAGGUGAUCGAGCGAACCCUCGUUAAGGAACUCGGCAAAAAAGCGUCCGUAACUUCGGGAUAAGGGCUGCCCACAACUCGCAAGAGUGGGUGGGCCGCAGCAAACGUUUUUCAGGCGACUGUUUACCAAAAACACAGGUCUCUGCAAACCCAUCGUGGGGAAGUAUAGGGGCUGACGCCUGUCCAGUGCUAGAAGGUUAUGGGAAUAGUUGAUUUUAUCUUCGGAUAAAUGAGGCUUGAACUUAAGCCCUAGUGAACGACAGCGAUAACUAUAAUCGUUCUAAGGUAGCGAAAUUCCUUGUCGGGUAAGUUCCGACCCGCAUCAAUGGCGUAACGGUCUGAAAACUGUCUCAACGAGGGCCUCGGUGAAAAUACACUACCGGUAAAGAUGCCGGUUACCCGCAGCUAGACGAAAAGACCCCGUGAAGCUUUACUAUGCCCUGAUAUUGAGUUUAUA